Molecule: long non-coding RNA, 3114 nt
Filed under: Mytilus galloprovincialis (Mediterranean mussel)
Lineage: Eukaryota; Metazoa; Mollusca; Bivalvia; Mytilida; Mytilidae
Source: RNAcentral
CGUGACCAAUUACCAUCCUAGUUGAAAUACCAUCCGGUGCGUAUUUACUAAGGUAACAAACAUAUUUUCUUAAUGUGUAUAUGAAUAAUUAUGCAAGCAAAUGCAAGUAGACAUUUAAAAUGAUUUAUUUGUAAAUAUUGACAGGCCUACAUGUACGUAUUUACCUUUGAAAAUAUCUACUUUCGUUUAAUGUCAGCUAGCUGUGUUGUUAUGUAUUUAUUUUGUUUUUCUGUCGUAUUUGGGAUACAAUUGAAAAAAUGACAUACUUUUGUGUCGUUUUACAUUUGGUCAUGUUGGUUCUAUUGUAGAUUACUUCAUGAUAUGGAUUUUUACAUUGUUGCAUACAAUACGAUGACGCGUAUGUCAUGUGAUAUCUUGUGGAUCAAUAAUAACUUCAUAUUUUUGUUUUUAUUUUUACAUUGAUAGUUUCUUUGUUUAUGUCUUAUUCAAGUGACAAUUUUUAUUUUUGUUUGUCGUUAAAAAGAUAUCUUCACCAGGAACACUGGAAGCUAGUAAGUGUAAAUGUACAUAAACAAGUACGAGAAAUAUGGUUCAAAGGGACAUAAUUAAGCCAAAUCCAUCAAAUAUAUUAUGGGCCAUAUAAUAUUCGAGUUUGGCAUCUUAUAGUCAUUAUGAUUUAGAAAGAAGGUAUGAACGAAGUUGACAUUGCAACAAUUAUUAUAAUUAUUCCAGACUAUGAAAACAAUGUUGAUUAAAUAAAUAAAUGAACAGGUUAAUAUAAGCUGGACACUUAAGUGCAGAAAGGAUCCUCUGGUUUUAUAAAUACUUCAACUUAUUAAACAAAUGCACUUUACAUAUUUAUGAUAUAGUUCUUGAAAAACAUAUGUGAACAAAGGAUUUAUACAAAAAUAUGUUUUACACAAAUUAACAUUUUAUUUAAUACAAUUUGUUACAAAAAUCAUUUUGGUAGAUGUCCCUGUUCCACUCUAAAUACUUUGGAAAAUAUCUCUACAAACUAUAGACUGUUUCAGGAUUUUUAAAGAUUGUUUUUAACAAAGAAGUUUACAACCUGAUAACAAUGCAAAUAGGUCAGACAGAAUACAAAACUAUCAUUACUAAUAAGUAUAAGCCAAAUGUCUAACAAACAAUUGUUGCAUGCUAUUUACUACAUGUAGGUUUUAAUUACUUUUUUAUUUUCAAGUUCAAGUGCACAAAAUGUUACCGCCUCCUUUAUCUACAUAUUGACAAAUAUUUUCAACAAAACAAAAUAAUUUGGGAACUUGUAUAUCUUUAAAAAAAGUUAUAUUGUAGACCGGGGAAGUUCUUCUGAACAAUAGCCUUAAUUAUAUUUGAUUUGAUAUUAUCUUGCAGUUUUGUGAUAUGGCCUCAUCCUCCCAAAGUUGUGGUGUGUGUGACCUCCGACACAAACAACAACCAUCAUAAUCUGGUGUACGGAAUGUGAUGAAGGACUUUGUCAAGAUUGUCAGGAACACCAUAGUUUAUCCAAGGGAACCAGAAACCAUAACACCAUAACAAUAAAGGAAUAUAAAACAUUACCAAGUGAAGUACUUAAAAUCUCUCAAUACUGUAGCACACACAAUGACAAAUUUAUAAUGUAUUGCCGGAAACACGAACGUCCCUGCUGCAGAAACUGUAUAGUGGAAACUCAUAAAGAAUGCCCGGAUAUCGAUAAAUUAGAAGACGUCAUUCAAAAUGUAAAAACCUCAAAUGCCUUCGACGAUAUUGAAGAAACAUUGGUUGAAGUAGCAGAAAAUUUAAAGAAAAUCAGUCAACACCAGCAGAAGAAUCUGUUGAAUUUAAAAGAAAAAAGAAAACAAAUUGAAAAAGAAAUUCAAAAGACCCGUACAACAAUCAACAACCUUCUGGAAAAAUUACAAGGAGAUUUGAUAAAACAACUUUAUUCUAUUGAAGAAACCCAGAACUCGAAAAUGUGUCAGUUGUUGUCAUCACUUGAACAGAGAGAAAAAGAAAUAACCAAAUACCAGCAAAACCUUGCAAGCAUUAAACAACACGCCUCAGACCUUCAGAUUUUUCUUUCACUUAAGCAAAUCGAACAAGACAUUAAUAUAAAUGAUAAAUUCCUACAAUCCGUAGUGGAAGGUGGGCAAAUGAAGCAAUCUCAUCUAGAAUAUAGAGCCAACAUGGCUAUUCAAGACUUCAUGUCAAAUAUCAAAAGUUUUGGAGAAGUACAUAUCGAAAGUAAGCCAUGUGACAUCGUUCUUAGCAGGAAGAAGACCAAACAAGCACAGAUAAUGGUACCAACCGUUCAAACAAGAUUCAUUGAGAACAUAAAACUGAAGAAAAACAAGACAAUAACAACUGAAGGACAAAGCGUCUACGGGUGUUGCAUAAUACCAGAUGGUAGAAUGGCGUUUACUUAUUUCUUUGAUUUGGCAGUUAGAGUAUUCAGUGAUACAGGAACAAAAGACUUUGAGGUGAAGAUGCCGUAUUACGUAUACGAUAUACUGUAUAUUAGUAAGGACAAUACAUUAGCCGUAACAUCUGGUGGUUCAAGUCAGCAUUGUAUUUUUAUUAUAAACGUGGAAAGAAAACAAAUCACGAAAACAAUUACACUCGACUCGUAUAUUUAUGGCAUAGCACUUAGAGAAAAUAAUUUAAUAUAUACUAGGAAAAUAUUUAAUACAUUACGGUUAUAACAAAGGAAUCCGAAUGAUCAAUCUUUCCGAUGAGUCAAUUACUCAAAUAGUCCAAGAUAAAAUGCCAGAUUGUUGUUACAUUGCAACAUUUCGGAACCAAAUAUAUCACACAAACUCGGAAACACAUGCCGUUACUUGUUACGAUCAACAAGGUAAACCACAAUGGACAUUCAAAAAUGGCAGCGUUCUGAAGAAUCCUCGUGGUAUUGAUGUAGAUAUUGAUGGUAAUGUGUACGUGGCGGGGUUCAAGUCGAACAAUGUUGUAGUUAUCUCCUUUGAUGGACAACGCUAUAGAGAAGUGUUAGCAGCAAGUGAUGGGCUUGAUCUUCCUAUUUCACUUUGUUUUAACAAUUCAAAGCAGCAGUUGCUAGUGACUAACUGGAAUAAUGAGGCCCGGCUGUAUGCUUUGAUUUGAAAAGAUUUUUUAAUUAUGUAUUAUCUUUAAUUUUGUAUCGUCACAGCUACACAUUUUUCG